This is a non-coding RNA of Nothobranchius furzeri (turquoise killifish), 3141 nucleotides long. The record is from RefSeq and is a predicted model, not a curated record. NCBI's taxonomy places the organism in Eukaryota, Metazoa, Chordata, Actinopteri, Cyprinodontiformes, Nothobranchiidae.
GAUUUUUGCAUAAAUUGUCUUCUCUAAAAGCUUUCUGAGCUUUUACUGAGUAAAGUCCUCAGACAGGAAGUGGCUUUACCCGCCAAAACAAUAAGAUGGAAGCAUUUUUGUUUGCCUUUUAUUGUUUGUUUAUUGAUGACUUCACUUCUGUUUCAUUGUGUUUAAAGUGGUUUAUGAAUCCACUCAAUCCUCCAAACCUCAGAGCAGAGGUCUCCAUCAAUCCUGCUACUCAUGAUUAGUUUUAGUUUAAACUGGUGAGCCAUAACAUUAUGACCACUCACAGGUGAAGUAAAUACCUGAUGAUUACACAGCAGAUGCUGGAGGAACAAACAUCUGGCUGCGGUGGGCCUUUAAGGAGCUCUGAUCUGGGAUGGCUCAACAGCUGGCAUCUCCAAAUCUGCAGCUUUUGUGGGACGUUCCUGGUCAGCAGUGAUCAGAACCGACCACAGCUGGCUCCCGUCAUGUCCUUUUAUCCACGCUGAUGAUACAGUCCUCCUAUCACUGCUGUCAGGCUCCUCACAACACCACGGACCUGCUCUUCAGGAGUUUGUAGAGUGGUGUGACAGCUCCAAACUUGAACUGAAUGUGAGCAAAACCAAAGACAUGGUGGUGACCUUCUGCAGGAGGCAGAGGGAUCCGGCUGCUUCAGUAACCACCAUUAUCCAUGGGAACCCAGUGGAGGUAGUGGAGGAGUACAAAUAUCUGGGAACCACCUUUGACAACCUCCUGAAAUUCUCUGCUAACACAGAGGAGAUUCUCAGGAAGUGCCACCAACGGCUAUAUCUCCAAGCUCAACUCCUUUGGAGUCAGCUCCUCAGUCAUGAUGACUUUUUACUGUGCCUUCCUGGAAAGCAUCAUGACCUUCUCCAUCACUUGCUGGUUCUACUCCCUUAGCCUCCAGAACAGGAACAGACUGCAGCACACUGCAUCAGUGUGCUCCAAAAUCGUUGGCCUGCCUGUCAGAACUCUUGCUCAGGUUUUCUGUCAACAAGCCCUGAGACAGGCAGCCAAAAUCCUCCACAACCCCUCUCACCAGCGUUGCCAGAUCCAAAAUCCCACAAUAUUGUACAAAGAGGCCUAAAUUAUCGUUUUUCAGUACAAAUUAUCGUACAUUAUAAAUUUGAUAAUAACGUUCUAUAAAUGACUUCUCACUCCAAUAUAAUAUAACAAAGAAGGUGUUUUAUAUAACCUUACAGUUUCUCGCGAAAGUAGGCCCUAUCGAUGUGAUUGGGCUAUUUAUUGUACAGAUCCAGAGUCAGUUUUUGUAAUAGACACAAUAGCAUAAACCUGUAAGCACUGAGGUGAAAUCUGACUUCAGAACAGUUUAAAAUUAUGUAAUUGACUUGGGAAUGCCACAGCAAAAAACGGUGUUACUAGAUGCAAUGUGAAAUUAUCGUACAUUUGAGGAUUUUUGAAACUAUUGAUCGUACAGAGCCCAAAAUUAUGGUACAAAUACGAUAAUUAUCGUACAUCUGGCAACACUGCCUCUCACAUUGUUCACUCUGCAUUUCAAUGGCUCCCCUCUGGGCGACGCCUACACUGCAUUUCCUGUAAGACUGAGGGGAGGAGAGCCACCUUUGUCCCCAAAACCAUUCUGCUCUUUAACUCCAGCAGAUAAGACCAUCCCCCGAUAAACCCUCUCCUUGGGCUCUCCAUAUAUUUAACUUUUAUACAGACGACACUUUAGUCACUUUAUUCACUUACUCAGUGUUUUUUUGUGUGCAUACUUUACUGUUUUAUCCAUCUUCUUGCUGCUUUAUUACUUCCUUAUUGCCUAUUUAUUCAAUGUUUGUAUGUCCAACAUCAUGCUGCUCUGCUGUUAUUUUUUUAAAUUGCCCCUCGGGGAUAAAUAAAGUUUUUCUGAUUCUGAAACAGCUGUUUGAACCACUUUGAACUUGUUUCAGCAGAAAGAGUUCAGCCCAUGUAACUCAUCACUGACGUCGGAAUCUGUUAAAAAAUAAACACGUUUGAUGAGUCUUAACUCUGAAAAGGGAGAGCUUCUGCAUCCAGCUCUGCUCCUUCAGCACCACAAACCAGAGCAGCACCACCUCCGUUACUGCAGAAGAUCCGAUCUGUCGGUCCGGCUGCAGCUCCAUCCUCACAUCCAUUAUCGUGACAAGAUGCUAGGAUCCUUUAACUCCUCCUCCUGAGGUAAAAGGGUAUUUAUGGUGACUCAAAAAGACAGAUGUUGGAUUUCCAGUUUUUCUCAAUAGGUGGGUUUCAUGUGACGUAAUCACCAGCGCGCGCAAAUUCGUCGGAGGGCAGGAAGUGAAGUGGAAUACAGCAAUUCAGCAAUCGCAACGGUAAAAAUGCCUAUGUUUGGUGUUGUUUAUGGUUGCUCCAAUCGCUCUAACCGAGAAAAAAAUUAAAUAUUUUUUAGAGUACCGAAGGUUGUCGUUCACAGAGGCGACAAGUAUAAAAAGCUUACAGAACAACGUCGGAAAAAAUGGAUUUUAAACCUACGCCUGCGGUCAGCAGGAGCAGAGUCUGAGAAUGCCCGCGUCUGCGGUGACCACUUCCUCCAAGGCCGCCCUAGCUCCAUAGAUGAGGUUGAGUCGGAAGACUGGGCUCCAACGGUCAACCUCGGUUACCAGAAGUCUAAGGCCAAGUCAGAAGCCUCUCUUCAACGGGAUCAGAGGAUGAAGCUAAAGGAAGACAAACAAAACGGUAUGAUUGUGCAGAAACUCUGUUGGAUCUUCAGAUACCAGACAAGCAGAGAGUUGAGAGCUCCGAACCAACGCUGACACCUGACCACCCACAGUCCGAGCGCAUCGGUGUGAUUGAGACGUUUAAUGAUGGAGCUGGGACAGAGCUGGACUGAUGCUGAGCGGAGCCUGAAGGGCCUGGUGGAAGCUCGCUUAAAGAUCGAACACGCUUUUUAUGAACUUACUGGGAACCUGGACUCCGUUAGAGCAGUGUGGGGGAUCGGGCAGGUGCUCUGACUGCUGGAUGGACAGGGCUCCCUAAAGAUCAACUUCUAAACUGGGUUUAUCAGUUUUCCUGGUUUUAUUAGUGGAAAACAAGUUUCAGUCAUUAACGCUGAUUGUUGAUUUGUAAUGAAAAAUAAAUAAUUUAAAAGUCAAAAUCUCUCUCUCUCUCUCUCUCUCUCUCUCUCUCUCUCUCUCUCUCUCUCUCUCUCUC